Molecule: ribosomal RNA, 253 nt
Filed under: uncultured bacterium
Lineage: Bacteria
Description: partial 16S ribosomal RNA
Rfam family: Bacterial small subunit ribosomal RNA
Source: RNAcentral
UACGUAGGGGGCUAGCGUUGUCCGGAUUUAUUGGGCGUAAAGAGCGUGUAGGCGGCCAGGUAGGUCUGGUGUGAAAACUCGAGGCUUAACCUCGAGAUGUCAUCGGAAACCAUCUGGCUAGAGUCCGGAAGAGGAGAGUGGAAUUCCUGGUGUAGCGGUGAAAUGCGCAGAUAUCAGGAAGAACACCAAUGGCGAAAGCAGCUCUCUGGGACGGUACUGACACUGAGGCGCGAAAGCGUGGGGAGCGAACAGG